GUGGGGAAUUUUCCGCAAUGGGGCGAAAGCCUGACGGAGCAAUGCCGCGUGGAGGUGGAAGGCCUACGGGUCGUCAACUUCUUUUCUCGGAGAAGAAACAAUGACGGUAUCUGAGGAAUAAGCAUCGGCUAACUCUGUGCCAG
RNAcentral lists this ribosomal RNA (143 nucleotides) under uncultured bacterium. RNAcentral's name for it is "partial 16S rRNA". It matches the Rfam family "Bacterial small subunit ribosomal RNA", at positions 354 to 511 of the family's 1533-position model. The record is from RNAcentral.